Molecule: ribosomal RNA, 449 nt
Filed under: uncultured organism
Description: partial 16S ribosomal RNA
Rfam family: Bacterial small subunit ribosomal RNA
Source: RNAcentral
ACUCCUGCGGGAGGCAGCAGUGGGGAAUAUUGGACACUGGGCGCAAGCCUGAUCCAGCCAUGCCGCGUGAGUGAUGAAGGCCCUAGGGUUGUAAAGCUCUUUCACCGGUGAAGAUAAUGACGGUAACCGGAGAAGAAGCCCCGGCUAACUUCGUGCCAGCAGCCGCGGUAAUACGAAGGGGGCUAGCGUUGUUCGGAUUUACUGGGCGUAAAGCGCACGUAGGCGGACUAUUAAGUCAGGGGUGAAAUCCCGGGGCUCAACCCCGGAACUGCCUUUGAUACUGGUAGUCUUGAGUUCGAGAGAGGUGAGUGGAAUUCCGAGUGUAGAGGUGAAAUUCGUAGAUAUUCGGAGGAACACCAGUGGCGAAGGCGGCUCACUGGCUCGAUACUGACGCUGAGGUGCGAAAGCGUGGGGAGCAAACAGGAUUAGAAACCCCGGUAGUCCCAUGA